GCUCGUGUGGCACAGUGGUUUGAGUGUUCAACUAUGACUCUGGAGACGGGUUCAAUUCCUGGCUGGACCA
Phrynosoma platyrhinos (Desert horned lizard) is the source of this 70-nucleotide non-coding RNA. The record is from the annotation of a GenBank genome assembly. Lineage: Eukaryota; Metazoa; Chordata; Lepidosauria; Squamata; Phrynosomatidae.